Molecule: ribosomal RNA, 294 nt
Filed under: uncultured bacterium
Lineage: Bacteria
Description: partial 16S ribosomal RNA
Rfam family: Bacterial small subunit ribosomal RNA
Source: RNAcentral
UGUGUCCUACGGGACGCAGCAGUCGAGAAUCCUUCACAAUGGGGGAACCCUGAUGGUGCGACGCCGCGUGGGGGAAUGAAGGUCUUCGGAUUGUAAACCCCUGUCAUGUGGGAGCAAAUUAAAAAGAUAGUACCACAAGAGGAAGAGACGGCUAACUCUGUGCCAGCAGCCGCGGUAAUACAGAGGCCUCAAGCGUUGUUCGGAAUCACUGGGCGUAAAGCGUGCGUAGGCUGUUUCGUACGUCGUGUGUGAAAGGCGCGGGCUCAACCCGCGGACGGCACAUGAUACUGAGAG